RNAcentral lists this ribosomal RNA (460 nucleotides) under uncultured bacterium. RNAcentral describes it as "partial 16S ribosomal RNA". It matches the Rfam family "Bacterial small subunit ribosomal RNA", at positions 338 to 795 of the family's 1533-position model. The record is from RNAcentral.
CCUUCGGGAGGCAGCAGUGAGGAAUAUUGGUCAAUGGACGAGAGUCUGAACCAGCCAAGUAGCGUGAAGGAUGACUGCCCUAUGGGUUGUAAACUUCUUUUAUAAAGGACUAAAACGAGGCACGUGUGCCUUUUUGCAUGUACUUUAUGAAUAAGGAUCGGCUAACUCCGUGCCAGCAGCCGCGGUAAUACGGAGGAUCCGAGCGUUAUCCGGAUUUAUUGGGUUUAAAGGGAGCGUAGAUGGGUUGUUAAGUCAGUUGUGAAAGUUUGCGGCUCAACCGUAAAAUUGCAAUUGAUACUGGCAGUCGUGAGUACAGAUGAGGUAGGCGGAAUGCGUGGUGUAGCGGUGAAUUGCUUAGAUAUCACGAAGAACACCGAUUGCGAAGGCAGCUGACGAAACUGCCACUGACAUUGAUGCUCGAAAGUGUGGGUAUCAAACAGGAUUAGAUACCCGAGUAGUC